Molecule: long non-coding RNA, 874 nt
Organism: Talpa occidentalis (Iberian mole)
Lineage: Eukaryota; Metazoa; Chordata; Mammalia; Eulipotyphla; Talpidae
Exons: 7
Source: RefSeq, a predicted model, not a curated record
GGCCCCGGGCGCCCGCCGCGCCCCGAGUGUCAGCUUCCGGCUUCCUGCGUCUCCGCGGCUGGGCCCAGGUUGUCAUCUCAAGGAUCUUGGGAAUGGAAUAAACGUAGAAUAACCACACAAUCAAGAGUCUGCUCUCCCUGCGCUGCUUCCCACCCUGCGUAUGCCUCUUGCCACUGCAGCAUCCUAAAACACAGUAACUUCAUGAAAACAUUUAAGCCUAAUAGUAAUAGUGGAAUAAAAACAAAGUAAAGGAAGACAGGUGAAUUGCCUUGGAGAGAAGUUUCCUUAGGAGAAUAUGUAACCUCUUAGAGAAAUCUGUGGAAACAAACUAGAAAGAUGUAAAAUGUGAAAACAAGCUCUCAAGUUCCAGGAUAAACAGAAAUCAACAAGGAAUCUCUGCUUGUUCUGUUGCACAAUGCAGCCAGAUAUCAUUUGCAGUAAGAACUAUAGAUAAUAGAAAGUGAAUUUUCAGCCUUUGGCACAGAAUUGGCCUUGAAGUUGAUUCAAGUGGUUGAUCCAUUUCAGCACCUUCUUGGGGGACAGACUGACCCCACACACUUUAUGAUCUAGAGACGACCCCUCAAAUUAUACAAGUUUAAAAUUUCCCUAAACCAGAUUCCAACCUUGGCUGUGAAUUACACUUGGAGCAAGGAAUUUUUACCUGCCCUGAAUAUGAAGAUUUGUAGAAGUAAACAAGGAAAUUGGAUGGAAGCGCACAGAUGGAAAUGAAUGGAUGGCUUUAAAUUUGCAUGAAAAAACAUCACCCACCACUAAUUUUCUAUCACUAAAUUUGCUCUGCAACUGUAAAAGAACUUUCAAAAAACCCUACUGCUUUGUAUUUUCGUUUGAAUAAGGGAUUGUUAAAACAGGGCCA